GACGAACCGUGCGAACGUUGUUCGGAUUCACUGGGCUUAAAGGGCGCGUAGGCGGGCAGCCAAGUCAGGGGUGAAAGCCCCCGGCCCAACCGGGGAAGUGCCUCUGAGACUGGCUGUCUCGAGUGGGGUAGGGGCAGUUGGAACUCUCGGUGGAGCGGUGGAAUGCGCAGAUAUCAGGAGGAACACCAAUAGCGAAGGCAGCUCGCUGGGACGUCACUGACACUGAGGCGCGAAAGCGUGGGGAGCGAAGG
RNAcentral lists this ribosomal RNA (251 nucleotides) under uncultured bacterium. RNAcentral's name for it is "partial 16S ribosomal RNA". It matches the Rfam family "Bacterial small subunit ribosomal RNA", at positions 524 to 774 of the family's 1533-position model. The record is from RNAcentral.